This 474-nucleotide ribosomal RNA is filed under the name uncultured Bacillus sp. RNAcentral describes it as "bacterial SSU rRNA". Lineage: Bacteria; Bacillati; Bacillota; Bacilli; Caryophanales; Bacillaceae. The record is from RNAcentral.
UGCAGUCGAGCGGACUUGACGGAGCUUGCUCUGUUCAAGUUAGCGGCGGACGGGUGAGUAACACGUGGGUAACCUGCCUGUAAGACUGGGAUAACUCCGGGAAACCGGGGCUAAUACCGGAUAUUCUUUUUCUUCGCAUGAAGAAGAAUGGAAAGGCGGCUUUUAGCUGUCACUUACAGAUGGACCCGCGGCGCAUUAGCUAGUUGGUGAGGUAACGGCUCACCAAGGCGACGAUGCGUAGCCGACCUGAGAGGGUGAUCGGCCACACUGGGACUGAGACACGGCCCAGACUCCUACGGGAGGCAGCAGUAGGGAAUCUUCCGCAAUGGACGAAAGUCUGACGGAGCAACGCCGCGUGAGUGAAGAAGGUUUUCGGAUCGUAAAGCUCUGUUGUCAGGGAAGAACAAGUACCAAAGUAACUGUUGGUACCUUGACGGUACCUGACCAGAAAGCCACGGCUAACUACGUGCCASC